Molecule: ribosomal RNA, 449 nt
Filed under: uncultured bacterium
Lineage: Bacteria
Description: partial 16S ribosomal RNA
Rfam family: Bacterial small subunit ribosomal RNA
Source: RNAcentral
AACGAACGCUGGCGGCAUGCCUAACACAUGCAAGUCGAACGAGACCUUCGGGUCUAGUGGCGCACGGGUGCGUAACGCGUGGGAAUCUACCCUUGGGUUCGGAAUAACAGUUAGAAAUGACUGCUAAUACCGGAUGAUGACGUAAGUCCAAAGAUUUAUCGCCCAAGGAUGAGCCCGCGUAAGAUUAGCUUGUUGGUGGGGUAAUGGCCUACCAAGGCGACGAUCUUUAGCCGGUCUGAGAGGAUGAUCAGCCACACUGGGACUGAGACACGGCCCAGACUCCUACGGGAGGCAGCGGUGGGGAAUAUCGGACAAUGGGCGAAAGCCUGAUCCAGCAAUGCCGCGUGAGUGAUGAAGGCCUUAGGGUUGUAAAGCUCUUUUACCUGGGAUGAUAAUGACAGUACCUGGAGAAUAAGCUCCGGCUAACUCCGUGCCAGCAGCCGCAGUAA